This 497-nucleotide ribosomal RNA is filed under the name uncultured bacterium. Its description in RNAcentral is "partial 16S ribosomal RNA". It matches the Rfam family "Bacterial small subunit ribosomal RNA", at positions 28 to 507 of the family's 1533-position model. The record is from RNAcentral.
GAUGAACGCUGGCGGCGUGCCUAAUACAUGCAAGUCGAGCGAACAGACGAGGAGCUUGCUCCUCUGACGUUAGCGGCGGACGGGUGAGUAACACGUGGAUAACCUACCUAUAAGACUGGGAUAACUUCGGGAAACCGGAGCUAAUACCGGAUAACAUGUUGAACCGCAUGGUUCAACAGGGAAAGACGGUCUUGCUGUCACUUAUAGAUGGAUCCGCGCCGCAUUAGCUAGUUGGUAAGGUAACGGCUUACCAAGGCAACGAUGCGUAGCCGACCUGAGAGGGUGAUCGGCCACACUGGAACUGAGACACGGUCCAGACUCCUACGGGAGGCAGCAGUAGGGAAGCGUCCGCAAUGGGCGAAAGCCUGACGGAGCAACGCCGCGUGAGUGAUGAAGGUCUUCGGAUCGUUAAACUCUGUUAUUAGGGAAGAACAAAUGUGUAAGUAACUAUGCACGUCUUGACGGUACCUAAUCAGAAAGCCACGGCUAACUACGUG